GAUGAACGCUAGCGGCAGGUCUAACACAUGCAAGUCGAGGGAGAGGUUAUCUUCGGGUUACCAAAAGGGGCGCACGGGUGCGUAACGGGAAUACAAUCUUGCCUUUCACAUAGGGGAUAGCCCGAAGAAUUUUGGAUUAAUACCUAAUGGAAAAUAAGAGCGGGAUCUUUUUUAUAUUAAAGCACCGGUGGGGAAAAAUUGCGUAUCCGUUCUAUUAGCUAGUUGGAGAAGGCAACGGGCUCCCCUAGGCCGACGAUAGUUAGCGGGUCCUGAGAAGGGAUGUCCCCCCCACUGGUACUGAGAUACGGACCCGACCUCCUACGGGAGGCAGGAAUGGGGGAUAUUUGGAGAAGGGUUGGGAAGACUUAAUCCAGCCAUGCCGCGUGCGGAUUGAAGGCCCUAGGAAUGUAAACUGGUUUUUGGUAUG
Molecule: ribosomal RNA, 427 nt
Filed under: uncultured Lactobacillus sp.
Lineage: Bacteria; Bacillati; Bacillota; Bacilli; Lactobacillales; Lactobacillaceae
Description: bacterial SSU rRNA
Rfam family: Bacterial small subunit ribosomal RNA
Source: RNAcentral